Molecule: ribosomal RNA, 236 nt
Filed under: uncultured Candidatus Saccharibacteria bacterium
Lineage: Bacteria; Candidatus Saccharimonadota
Description: partial 16S ribosomal RNA
Rfam family: Bacterial small subunit ribosomal RNA
Source: RNAcentral
UAAGUGAAUAGUGAAAUCUGACGGCUCAACCGUAUAGACUAUUAUUCAAACUGUAUAACUCGAGAAUGGUAGAGGUAACUGGAAUUUCUAGUGUAGGAGUGAAAUCCGUAGAUAUUAGAAGGAACACCAAUGGCGUAGGCAGGUUACUGGACCAUUUCUGACACUGAGGCACGAAAGCGUGGGGAGCGAACCGGAUUAGAUACCCGGGUAGUCCACGCCGUAAACGAUGGAUACUA